UCCUACGGGACGCAGCAGUGGGGAAUAUUGCUCAAUGGGCGAAAGCCUGACGCAGCGACGCCGCGUGAGGGAUGAAGGUCUUCGGAUCGUAAACCUCUGUCAGCAGGGAAGAACGGUCACUGUGCUAAUCAGCAGUGAAUUGACGGUACCUGCAAAGGAAGCACCGGCUAACUCCGUGCCAGCAGUCGCGGUAAUACGGAGGGUGCGAGCGUUAAUCGGAAUUACUGGGCGUAAAGCGCUCGUAGGCGGUAUGUCAAGUCAGGGGUGAAAUCCCCGCGCUCAACGUGGGAACUGCCUUUGAAACU
This 305-nucleotide ribosomal RNA is filed under the name uncultured bacterium. RNAcentral's name for it is "bacterial SSU rRNA". It matches the Rfam family "Bacterial small subunit ribosomal RNA", at positions 337 to 634 of the family's 1533-position model. The record is from RNAcentral.